AGAGAGAGACAUGCGCGCAUAUCAAUAAGCGGAGGAAAAGAAACUAACUAGGAUUCCCUUAGUAACGGCGAGUGAAGCGGGAAGAGCUCAAAUUUGAAAUCUUCAAGGUUUUACCUUGACGAAUUGUAGUUUAAAGAAGUGUUUUCUGCUGGAGUUUUGGUAAAAGUUCUUUGGAAUAGGACAUCAUAGAGGGUGAGAAUCCCGUAUUUGACCAUUAUGUUCCAGCUUUGUGAUACACUUUCAAAGAGUCGGAUUGUUUGGGAAUGCAGUCCAAAAUGGGUGGUAAAUUUCAUCUAAAGCUAAAUAUUGGCGAGAGACCGAUAGCGAACAAGUACCGUGAGGGAAAGAUGAAAAGAACUUUGAAAAGAGAGUUAAACAGUACGUGAAAUUGUCAAAAGGGAAGCGUUUGACACCAGUGUUGUUUUCUCGAAAAUCAAUUAAAAAUGGCUCGAUUUUGUAUUGUUGAGACCUUAAAAGCUCACUGUACAUUUUUCGUGUCUUUUUUAAUGCACUUUUCGUUUAACAAGUCAACAUCAGUUUCUUUUGUUGUAAAAGGGUCAUUGGAAGGUGGCUUUCUUUUCGGAGAAAGUGUUUAUAGCCUUUGGCCUCUGCAAUCGGAGAGACUGAGGUCUGCAGCGUAGACUCUUCGGGGUUAGAUACAUUUGUGCUAAGUUAUAGCUUUUUAUAGACAACUUGUUGACUAUAAUUAGUCUUGUAGCUUACUCGCUUAUGCUAUUUUACCUACGCUUAGGAUGUUGAAGAUGUAGCACAUCAU
Molecule: ribosomal RNA, 775 nt
Filed under: uncultured Neocallimastigales
Lineage: Eukaryota; Fungi; Neocallimastigomycota; Neocallimastigomycetes; Neocallimastigales
Description: partial large subunit ribosomal RNA
Rfam family: Eukaryotic large subunit ribosomal RNA
Source: RNAcentral